ACGGGCGAUUAACGCAAACACUUUCUUUUUGACCCUCCUGCCGUGCCGUAGCGGGGUGAACUUGGCUGCAGUUUACUUGUUACUGAUGAGCCACAAGCGAGCAGAAGUGGCCAAAGGAAAAUCUACAUUAUGGAAAUAUCAGGUUCAAAGCCAUGGCAAGUUGUUCUCCCGACAAGAAAGGACAAUUUUUCGCCAUGAGAAGAGGAGACAUCCCUGCAGCAAACACCUGCUGCGCGCAUUGUUCGAUUCGUGUUACAAAGCAUACAAUUUAAACAAUUUAAAGGCUGUUCAUACCAUUUCAAGAGAACACAAUCAUCGAUUGUGCAACUCCACCAAGAACUGUCGAAGGAAAAAAGAAUGGAAGGAACAAAAGUUUUUUGCCUGUUUCUUAUGCCGUUACUCUGUGACACCCAAGCAAACCUUUCACUUCCUGCCUUUGAGUCAAACCAAACUACCAAUGGUCCAAAAAACUCUUUUGAUAUGGUCAUCAACGGCACGCGAGCAGACUGCCUGGUUGAUGCGGAGAUAGGUCUGAUUGCUGUAGGAACUGCAGGUGGUCUGAUUGUGUGCCUAUUGGUAGCCACUGUGGUAUUGGCAUGCCAAGUCUACCACAUUAGGCGCCAGGUUUAUGCUCCAAGAACCUCCAACUCCAACAUGUACUUGGUGAGUGGUACGGACUACUGGGACACUAAUCCACCUGAUAUUGGAGGACUGGUCGGGCCUUGCGAAACCAGUUUAAUGAUGGACGAGGUGAGAGCAGAGGAAGAGAAUCGGGCUAAAAAACUCAAGCAAUGUAAAGGGGCUCGGGCAGAAAUUGAUCAUGGGGCUUUUGCUAUGGCUUUUGAUCCUGAAGAUAAAAAAAGUCAGAUGCUGAGCUCAAUUUAAAAAAACUAUUGUUUAGAAAAUCUAAAGGACAUUGAGGACAAGCCUCUUGUUGUGUGGCGGUCAUGAAAGUUUGGUAAACUCCAGCAAAACCACUGAAGAUGACAGCAAUGAUUCAGUUCAGCAUUAAUUUAACAGUGUUUAGUUUUCCUGGAGAUAAAAGAAAAAGGUGCCUUAACCAGUGGCCCCCAACUUUUUGGGCCAACAAACCUGCUCAAGUUUCCACAAUUUUUUGGUGGACCAGCGGAUUGGGCUGACGGUCUUUAUAACAAUCUAAUAUAGUGAUUUAAGGCAAUACUGCUACUGUGAGUUACCAAUGUAUAAAACCAAUAAAGGCAUCCAGUAACAUCAAAUUAAAGUGGAUACUG
This is a long non-coding RNA of Entelurus aequoreus (snake pipefish), 1250 nucleotides long. RefSeq lists it as uncharacterized. The transcript is spliced from 3 exons. The record is from RefSeq and is a predicted model, not a curated record. Lineage: Eukaryota; Metazoa; Chordata; Actinopteri; Syngnathiformes; Syngnathidae.